Molecule: long non-coding RNA, 1778 nt
Organism: Paramisgurnus dabryanus
Lineage: Eukaryota; Metazoa; Chordata; Actinopteri; Cypriniformes; Cobitidae
Source: RefSeq, a predicted model, not a curated record
UCAAGCUACAGGUGUCGUGAGAACAAAAAACAUGGCGGACAUUUCUCUCAUUUUUAGUGGAAAAAUCUAUAUUGUGAGUUAGUUUCUGCAUAAAAAUAAGUUUUGAUUACAUUUCUAGCGAGAAAUAUAUAUUUUAUUUUCAUAAUAUGCACUCAGUGAAUUUACAUAAUCACUCGCUUGCUCGAUGUUACGCAGAUUUUUCAGAUCUCGCCAGAAUAAUGUAAAACUGAUACGUUUAGGUUGCUAUGGUCGCUGCCAGGGCUCGUCACAUGACGUCUUCUACAGACUAUAAUAAAUAAGAAUAAAUAGGAAGAGGCAACAAUAAAUGAUCUAUGCCAGCGCAAGUCAAUAUUUAUCUGGCCAGUCAACUGGUUUUUAAUUUAAAAAAUCCCUCGCAGUCUGAACUGCAACAGCACGGUCUGCGGUGAGUUAAACAACGUUCAACUGCAGGAUCAAUAGCAUUCAGCGGUGAGUUUAACAACCCUCAAAUGCGGUUAAAACAACAUUCAGAGGGAAGCUUUAUUUAAACCGCGUUCAACUGCAGAUAAAACAACAUUCAGAGGUGACUUUAACAACGCUCCACGGCGCGUGGGAGUAGCAUUUUAAGCGUUUUCUGAUCAUGUAGGUAAGUGCUUUGAUUAACUUUAGACGUGAUGCAUGCUGGGUGGCAAAUAUUUUUUAUCAAAGGCUCGUUGAUGGUAAUAAAUAUACAUAUAAAUAUACAUUUUACUAUAAUACGAUUGUGUUCGAUUAAUUAAUGGGUUGUUUAAUUAUUAAUUUGUUUAUUUAAAAUCCUGUAAUUUAACAACUCUGACGUCAUCGAAUGCGACGAUGCCAAGGUCCAUUGCGAUUUCCACUCGGUGCGAGCCAAGCCAAUUUUAUUUAUUGGGAAACAGGAUAAAAAGGCUUCGAAUAAGUGGGUUGCAUAUAUUAUUACCCAUUGGCACCCCACUCCUGUCACUACAAUUUUUUGGAGGAGAUGCGGAGGGCUUUAUCUUGACAAAAGCAACCUCCACAGGACAGCAGCCUGAGAGCCUUGCCAUGGAGCGGCCUGAGAGCCCUGCUGUGAAAUGGCCGGAGAACCUCACCAAGAAGUCUGAGGCUAUAUUUGUACUAAAUCUUGUUCUUCUGUCUUCUAGACUCUCUCCAACCUCUCUUGCUCCUACUACCUCUACUGCUUUUACAACAAUUUUCUCUCUACUUUUUUUCCCCACCUCCACUGCCAUGCUCUAAGUUUUUGCCACAGAGGAAGAGGAAGAUAAAGAAAUCUACCUCUUCCCACUAUACCACACUUGUCUCUCUUCAAUUUGCAUCUGUCUCUUCCAGUUCUAAAUCUCAGAAGUGGCCACUGGUGAAGAACAGAAUAAAGUAUAACUUUUCCUGUUACAUCUUACUCCACAAUUUGCUCCUAGUCAAAUAUGUCUUCAUGUUAAUUAAAUUCAUUUAGCUAACCAGGUAUUUGUUAGCCAGUUCACAGUGUUUUAGAGCCCAAUGUCCAAGGACUGUGGUCAAUGUAAAUUCCUGACUUAAAGGGACACUUCACUUUUUUUUGCUAAUUUUCCAGCAGUAAGUUUUACCGUUUUAGAAUCCAUUCAGCUGAUCUCCGCGUCUGGCACUACCUUUUUUAGCAUAGCUUAGCAUAAUACAUUAAAUCUGAUUAGGCCAUUAGCAUCGCGCCAAAAAAUAACCAAAGAGUUUCGAUAUUUUUCCUAUUUAAAACUUGACUCUUCUGUAGUUACAUCGUGUACUAAGACAGACGGAAAAUUAAAAGUUGUGAU